RNAcentral lists this ribosomal RNA (274 nucleotides) under uncultured bacterium. RNAcentral's name for it is "partial 16S ribosomal RNA". It matches the Rfam family "Bacterial small subunit ribosomal RNA", at positions 334 to 605 of the family's 1533-position model. The record is from RNAcentral.
AUAUCCUACGGGGGGCAGCAGUGAGGAAUAUUGGUCAAUGGGCGGAAGCCUGAACCAGCCAAGUAGCGUGCAGGAUGACGGCUCUACGGGUUGUAAACUGCUUUUAUACGGGAAUAACGCGCCUUACGUGUAGGGCUUUGCAUGUACCGUAUGAAUAAGGACCGGCUAAUUCCGUGCCAGCAGCCGCGGUAAUACGGAAGGUCCGGGCGUUAUCCGGAUUUAUUGGGUUUAAAGGGAGCGUGGGCCGCAUGACAAGCGUGCUGGGAAAUGUCGG